RNAcentral lists this ribosomal RNA (253 nucleotides) under uncultured bacterium. Its description in RNAcentral is "partial 16S ribosomal RNA". It matches the Rfam family "Bacterial small subunit ribosomal RNA", at positions 524 to 776 of the family's 1533-position model. The record is from RNAcentral.
UACAGAGGGGGCAAGCGUUGUUCGGAAUUACUGGGCGUAAAGGGCGCGUAGGCGUCUCGCUAAGUCGAACGUGAAAUCCCCGAGCUCAACUCGGGAACUGCGUCCGAUACUGGUGGGCUUGAAUCCGGGAGAGGGAUGCGGAAUUCCAGGUGUAGCGGUGAAAUGCGUAGAUAUCUGGAGGAACACCGGUGGCGAAGGCGGCAUCCUGGACCGGCAUUGACGCUGAGGCGCGAAAGCUAGGGGAGCAAACGGG